RNAcentral lists this unclassified non-coding RNA (205 nucleotides) under fungal sp. Its description in RNAcentral is "partial internal transcribed spacer region". The stretch from base 1 to 46 matches the Rfam family "Eukaryotic small subunit ribosomal RNA", at positions 1786 to 1831 of the family's 1831-position model. Lineage: Eukaryota; Fungi. The record is from RNAcentral. RNAcentral also lists the same sequence under 3 other names.
AAGUCGUAACAAGGUCUCCGUUGGUGAACCAGCGGAGGGAUCAUUAAAAUAGAGGUCCAAAGCCCCUAAAACCAACCGUGCUCCCAUCGUGGAAACCUAUAAACAGAGAGCCCUCGCUGGCACUAGUUAUCUGAGAAGCAGAACCGCGCCCCGGCGCGAGAACUGAAAGAAAUUACAACCCAUAACAAUGGAUCUCUUGGCUCUG